Molecule: ribosomal RNA, 119 nt
Filed under: Macaca mulatta (Rhesus monkey)
Lineage: Eukaryota; Metazoa; Chordata; Mammalia; Primates; Cercopithecidae
Also listed under: 1 other name
Source: RNAcentral
GUCUAUUGCCAUACCACCCUGAACACGCCCAAUCUCAUCUGAUCUCACAAGCUAAGCAGGGUCACGCCUGGUUAGUACUUGGUUGGGAGACCGUGUGGGAAUACCGAGUGCUGCAGGGU